Non-coding RNA from Chelonoidis abingdonii (Abingdon island giant tortoise), 89 nucleotides. The record is from RefSeq and is a predicted model, not a curated record. Lineage: Eukaryota; Metazoa; Chordata; Testudines; Testudinidae.
CUGAAUGCUGCUGAUAGAGGCGAUGUGCAGCACUGAAGAGCAUAUCUGCUCCUCCCGCUCCCUGGUGGUAGACGGUGUAUUAUGACUGA